Rattus norvegicus (Norway rat) is the source of this 65-nucleotide small nuclear RNA. Ensembl annotates it as U2 spliceosomal RNA. Lineage: Eukaryota; Metazoa; Chordata; Mammalia; Rodentia; Muridae. The record is from Ensembl.
AUCGCUUCUCGGCCUUUUGGCUAAGAUCAAGUGUAGUAUCUGAAGGGAAAUAAGGAAGAAUGGAU